GAUCAGGUAUUCAUAUUAUGAUUUAAGAUUGCAAAUCUUAAGGUGGUUAUUCUCUGAUUU
RNAcentral lists this transfer RNA (60 nucleotides) under Bostrichoidea sp. 1 KM-2017. RNAcentral's name for it is "tRNA-Cys". The record is from RNAcentral. Lineage: Eukaryota; Metazoa; Arthropoda; Insecta; Coleoptera.